GAUGAACGCUGGCGGCGUGCCUAAUACAUGCAAGUCGAGCGAACGGACGAGAAGCUUGCUUCUCUGAUGUUAGCGGCGGACGGGUGAGUAACACGUGGAUAACCUACCUAUAAGACUGGGAUAACUUCGGGAAACCGGAGCUAAUACCGGAUAAUAUUUUGAACCGCAUGGUUCAAAAGUGAAAGACGGUCUUGCUGUCACUUAUAGAUGGAUCCGCGCUGCAUUAGCUAGUUGGUAAGGUAACGGCUUACCAAGGCAACGAUGCAUAGCCGACCUGAGAGGGUGAUCGGCCACACUGGAACUGAGACACGGUCCAGACUCCUACGGGAGGCAGCAGUAGGGAAUCUUCCGCAAUGGGCGAAAGCCUGACGGAGCAACGCCGCGUGAGUGAUGAAGGUCUUCGGAUCGUAAAACUCUGUUAUUAGGGAAGAACAUAUGUGUAAGUAACUGUGCACAUCUUGACGGUACCUAAUCAGAAAGCCACGGCUAACUACGUGCCAGCAGCCGCGGUAAUACGUAGGUGGCAAGCGUUAUCCGGAAUUAUUGGGCGUAAAGCGCGCGUAGGCGGUUUUUUAAGUCUGAUGUGAAAGCCCACGGCUCAACCGUGGAGGGUCAUUGGAAACUGGAAAACUUGAGUGCAGAAGAGGAAAGUGGAGUUCCAUGUGUAGCGGUGAAAUGCGCAGAGAUAUGGAGGAACACCAGUGGCGAAGGCGACUUUCUGGUCUGUAACUGACGCUGAUGUGCGAAAGCGUGGGGAUCAAACAGGAUUAGAUACCCUGGUAGUCCACGCCGUAAACGAUGAGUGCUAAGUGUUAGGGGGUUUCCGCCCCUUAGUGCUGCAGCUAACGCAUUAAGCACUCCGCCUGGGGAGUACGACCGCAAGGUUGAAACUCAAAGGAAUUGACGGGGACCCGCACAAGCGGUGGAGCAUGUGGUUUAAUUCGAAGCAACGCGAAGAACCUUACCAAAUCUUGACAUCCUUUGACAACUCUAGAGAUAGAGCUUUCCCCUUCGGGGGACAAAGUGACAGGUGGUGCAUGGUUGUCGUCAGCUCGUGUCGUGAGAUGUUGGGUUAAGUCCCGCAACGAGCGCAACCCUUAAGCUUAGUUGCCAUCAUUAAGUUGGGCACUCUAAGUUGACUGCCGGUGACAAACCGGAGGAAGGUGGGGAUGACGUCAAAUCAUCAUGCCCCUUAUGAUUUGGGCUACACACGUGCUACAAUGGACAAUACAAAGGGCAGCGAAACCGCGAGGUCAAGCAAAUCCCAUAAAGUUGUUCUCAGUUCGGAUUGUAGUCUGCAACUCGACUACAUGAAGCUGGAAUCGCUAGUAAUCGUAGAUCAGCAUGCUACGGUGAAUACGUUCCCGGGUCU
Molecule: ribosomal RNA, 1372 nt
Filed under: uncultured bacterium
Lineage: Bacteria
Description: bacterial SSU rRNA
Rfam family: Bacterial small subunit ribosomal RNA
Source: RNAcentral